GGACUACACGGGUAUCUAAUCCUGUUUGCUCCCCACGCUUUCGCGCCUCAGCGUCAGUUACAGCCCAGAAAGUCGCCUUCGCCACUGGUGUUCCUCCACAUCUCUACGCAUUUCACCGCUACACGUGGAAUUCCACUUUCCUCUUCUGUACUCAAGCUUUGCAGUUUCCAGUGCGAAUCGGAGUUGAGCUCCGAGAUUAAACACUAGACUUACAAGGCCGCCUGCGCGCGCUUUACGCCCAAUAAUUCCGGACAACGCUUGCCCCCUACGUAUUACCGCGGCUGCUGGCAC
RNAcentral lists this ribosomal RNA (291 nucleotides) under uncultured bacterium. Its description in RNAcentral is "partial 16S ribosomal RNA". The record is from RNAcentral.